This 253-nucleotide ribosomal RNA is filed under the name uncultured bacterium. RNAcentral describes it as "partial 16S ribosomal RNA". It matches the Rfam family "Bacterial small subunit ribosomal RNA", at positions 524 to 776 of the family's 1533-position model. The record is from RNAcentral.
UACAGAGGGGGCAAGCGUUAUUCGGAAUUAUUGGGCGUAAAGGGCGCGUAGGCGGCUUUUCAAGUGACGGGUGAAAUCCCUCGGCUUAACCGAGGAACUGCCUGUCAGACUGGAAGGCUUGAGACCGGGAGAGGUGAGUGGAAUUCCCAGUGUAGCGGUGAAAUGCGUAGGUAUUGGGAGGAACACCAGUGGCGAAGGCGGCUCACUGGACCGGAACUGACGCUGAGGCGCGAAAGCGUGGGGAGCAAACAGG